UUAGACCCCUAGCCUGGGAACCUCCAUAUGCCGCAGGUGCGGCCCUAAAAAGACAGACAAGACAAAAAAAAAAAAAAAAAAAAAAAAAAAAAGCAUAUAUUGAAAAGUACAUUUUAUACCUGCCUUAGCAUAAACAUGAAUAUAACCCAGAGUACAGUCAGUACUAUUGUUCAUUGUUAUAUUCAUUUUUUAAAUUCUUAUUUUAAGAAAAAUUAAAACAUUUUUGAGGGCCCUAAGCCCUGUGUCCACUAGACCUAAUAAAUAAGUUGGCCCCACAAGUAUCAGCAAUGGAAGUGUUAAAAGCCAUGGAAAAAACAAUAAUACAUAGCUUUGGAGAACAGAGUGGUGGUUAGCAGAGGGGAGGGGUUGGGGGAGGGUGAAAUGCUAAAGGGGACCAACCACAUGGAGAGAGAUGGAAACUGAAUCUUUAGGGGUGAGCAGGCUGCAGGGUUUCCAGAAGUAGAAAUAUAAUGUUGUACACAUGAAAUAUAUAUCAUAAAUGUCACUUCGAUUUUUAAAACUUAAUUUAAAAAUCAAAGUUUUUAAAAAAGCAAUGUUGGCAUUAUUUUGCAGCAUAGCCAGUUAAGGAUCUGGCAUUGUCACUACAGCAGUUUGGGUCACUGCUGUGGCACAGGUUCAAUCACUGUCAUAGAACUUCCACAUGCUAUAGGCAGGGCCAAAAAAAAAAAAAAAAAGACAAUGGAAAAAGUCAGAAGGGAAUAAAGGAUCAAAGGAGGGCUAGAAUCUGAAAUUAGCCUGACUUCUGGGAUGAGUCAGACAAUGUAACUGUAAAUCAACCAUAAGGCUUUCAGCGGCAACUAAGGCUGCAGCAUACACCAGAACAUCAGGGAAGAGGAAAUGUCUGAUAACCCAUUCCACAGCUCCUGAACCCCUUCAGGAGUUACAGAAUGAGCUAUCAGACAUGAGGUAUGUAAAAAAUAGUUACAUCAAGUACAUACAGUAUUUACAUCAAGUAGUAAAAAGUAUUUACAUCAGGUAUUUAAAA
RNAcentral lists this long non-coding RNA (1006 nucleotides) under Sus scrofa (pig). RNAcentral describes it as "lncRNA (ENSSSCG00035035572.1)". The record is from RNAcentral. Lineage: Eukaryota; Metazoa; Chordata; Mammalia; Artiodactyla; Suidae.